UACGUAGGUGGCAAGCGUUGUCCGGAUUUACUGGGCGUAAAGGGCGUGCAGGCGGUCUGUUAAGUGCAGGGUGAAAGCUCCCGGCUCAACUGGGAGAGGUCCUUGCAUACUGGCGGACUUGAGGGGGGUAGAGGAAAGUGGAAUUCCCGGUGUAGUGGUGAUAUGCGUAGAUAUCGGGAGGAACACCUGUGGCGAAGGCGGCUUUCUGGGCCCUACCUGACGCUGAGACGGCGAAAGCGUGGGGAGCGAACCGG
Molecule: ribosomal RNA, 254 nt
Filed under: uncultured bacterium
Lineage: Bacteria
Description: partial 16S ribosomal RNA
Rfam family: Bacterial small subunit ribosomal RNA
Source: RNAcentral